RNAcentral lists this transfer RNA (56 nucleotides) under Cervus elaphus xanthopygus (Manchurian Wapiti). Its description in RNAcentral is "tRNA-Leu". Lineage: Eukaryota; Metazoa; Chordata; Mammalia; Artiodactyla; Cervidae. The record is from RNAcentral.
ACUUUUAUCCAUUGGUGUUAGGAACCAAAUAAUUGGUGCAACUCCAAAUAAAAGUA